Molecule: long non-coding RNA, 1109 nt
Filed under: Anser brachyrhynchus (Pink-footed goose)
Lineage: Eukaryota; Metazoa; Chordata; Aves; Anseriformes; Anatidae
Description: lncRNA (ENSABRG00000005627.1)
Source: RNAcentral
UCUUCUAGGAAACUGGAUUGAGGUUCCCCAGCGGGAAGACAAACUCAGUGCCCCAUUCCCAAAGGAGCAAAAUGAACUCAUGUUCACCGUUUAAAACUGUUGCUUGCAGGACAAGAUUAAAACUUGCAGGAAAGACAAGAUCCAUCCCCUGGAUAUAGCUCGGAUUUCUGAUGCUGAAGCAAACCCGGCCGUGCUGCUGUCUCCAUUGCCAUCUAGCGGCACCCCGAGAUUUCUUUCCUCCAGGAAGCUUCCACCGAAAUUCUUCGCUGGAGAAAACCUCUCAUUGACUGCCUUGGGUUUUGUCUGCAAUAAACACCAGGCAGCUCUUCCUGCUCGGGCUCCUUUGUGCACACUCAUUUGUUUUAACUCCCUGUGGCUUUUCCUCAAUACCAGCCACCGUUUGUUUGUGUUCUUGAUCAGCAUGAGUCACUCCUUCAGCAAACGGUACGGGACGCAGGACUUUGACCUCGUUUUCAUCGUGCAGUUCUGGGAGAAUCCGUGUGGCUUUGAGGGGGUCACUUCAGGGACGGAGGCGGGCUGCACCUUUCCCUCUUCGUUCUUCUUCCUCAGCAACCAAAACACUCAUUUUGCCUUCAAAAGCAACAGUCCCCCUUGGGGAGGAGAGGGGACAUCGCUAUGAGGCACAGAGCCACAGGGUCUCCCUGUCACCUGCCGUGCCACCCGUCGGGCAGUGCUCCUGCAGCUCCCGCAGCCGCCAGGUGCUCUGUGAGCGCUGCUAUUUAAGCACAACCCCAAAGCCAAACUCUCCUCCCUGGGUGGAUUGCAGACCCUUGGGGACACCGUGAUGAUGUGCAGCAAAGCCCAGACCCGUGGGGGGUGGCCCUGACACCGUUAGCAGGAUGGCUGAUGAAAAACACACACGGGCACCCUGUGAAAUACUGAUUACGUUUCUGUGCUUUUUAUAGCAAUAUAGUACUUUAUUUGGGACCGGGAAACAUAUUCUCAAAUAUUUUGUUUUAAAUUACCUGUACACACACAGAGCCUGCUUGCGGAAAGGGAGCACCUUUUUACUACUUACUUAAAUCCAUCCGUCAUCAGUGCAUCACCACCAAAAUAAACCCCCCAAAGUUUCCUUUUGCUCUGGAAAU